This 1120-nucleotide ribosomal RNA is filed under the name Bacillus safensis. RNAcentral's name for it is "bacterial SSU rRNA". It matches the Rfam family "Bacterial small subunit ribosomal RNA", at positions 37 to 1145 of the family's 1533-position model. The record is from RNAcentral. Lineage: Bacteria; Bacillati; Bacillota; Bacilli; Caryophanales; Bacillaceae.
UGGGGGCUGCUAUACAUGCAGUCGAGCGGACAGAAGGGAGCUUGCUCCCGGAUGUUAGCGGCGGACGGGUGAGUAACACGUGGGUAACCUGCCUGUAAGACUGGGAUAACUCCGGGAAACCGGAGCUAAUACCGGAUAGUUCCUUGAACCGCAUGGUUCAAGGAUGAAAGACGGUUUCGGCUGUCACUUACAGAUGGACCCGCGGCGCAUUAGCUAGUUGGUGGGGUAAUGGCUCACCAAGGCGACGAUGCGUAGCCGACCUGAGAGGGUGAUCGGCCACACUGGGACUGAGACACGGCCCAGACUCCUACGGGAGGCAGCAGUAGGGAAUCUUCCGCAAUGGACGAAAGUCUGACGGAGCAACGCCGCGUGAGUGAUGAAGGUUUUCGGAUCGUAAAGCUCUGUUGUUAGGGAAGAACAAGUGCGAGAGUAACUGCUCGCACCUUGACGGUACCUAACCAGAAAGCCACGGCUAACUACGUGCCAGCAGCCGCGGUAAUACGUAGGUGGCAAGCGUUGUCCGGAAUUAUUGGGCGUAAAGGGCUCGCAGGCGGUUUCUUAAGUCUGAUGUGAAAGCCCCCGGCUCAACCGGGGAGGGUCAUUGGAAACUGGGAAACUUGAGUGCAGAAGAGGAGAGUGGAAUUCCACGUGUAGCGGUGAAAUGCGUAGAGAUGUGGAGGAACACCAGUGGCGAAGGCGACUCUCUGGUCUGUAACUGACGCUGAGGAGCGAAAGCGUGGGGAGCGAACAGGAUUAGAUACCCUGGUAGUCCACGCCGUAAACGAUGAGUGCUAAGUGUUAGGGGGUUUCCGCCCCUUAGUGCUGCAGCUAACGCAUUAAGCACUCCGCCUGGGGAGUACGGUCGCAAGACUGAAACUCAAAGGAAUUGACGGGGGCCCGCACAAGCGGUGGAGCAUGUGGUUUAAUUCGAAGCAACGCGAAGAACCUUACCAGGUCUUGACAUCCUCUGACAACCCUAGAGAUAGGGCUUUCCCUUCGGGGACAGAGUGACAGGUGGUGCAUGGUUGUCGUCAGCUCGUGUCGUGAGAUGUUGGGUUAAGUCCCGCAACGAGCGCAACCCUUGAUCUUAGUUGCCAGCAUUCAGUUGGGCACUCUAAGG